Molecule: non-coding RNA, 101 nt
Organism: Mycena capillaripes
Lineage: Eukaryota; Fungi; Basidiomycota; Agaricomycetes; Agaricales; Mycenaceae
Source: the annotation of a GenBank genome assembly
GACUCGGUAGCGAAUGGUCCCGCAUCCCCGAACUUUCAUUUGGUUGUUUUCCAUGGAGUUCAGAGGAAGGAAGGUUGCCUGUUCGACUCAGGCCCGAGUCA